AGCGCCACGCAAUUAAUGCAGAUUCCUGAUACGCGAUGUUCCAGUUCUACCAACCGAGUGUAGACGUGAUUAAUGGCGAACUUCAGAGCCAGGUUGCUAUUAAUUCUCUCUUAUUAACCUGUUUGUUUGUUUGCGGAAGUACAUACAGUAAGUACUUUCUUCGCGAUCAAUAUUUAAAAAACUUCGAAUUCGACGUUAACAAAUUUUUAAAUGUAGAUUUUUGUUUUCAUUUAAAGUCGCAUUCAACUAUCAGUGUUGUUAGCGAUUACUUUUUGGUUAAAACAAUGCACAUGUUUUCUGCUAAAGGCUCUAGUACUCUAAGGUCCGGUGGCUUCUGCUAUCGACUCAAAGACACUGAUAGAUACUGUAAUUAUCUCGGUACUUAUCAUAGAGAUUACACGCAGAAUGAAUAACAAUAAAUUUUGUGAACGGUUGAGGUAUUAUCUACACGAGGUAUGUAUGUGUCUAUGUACUUAUAGUUUUAGAUGAAUUCCGAAUUACCAGAACCAUGCUGAGAUAAACAAUACAACUACCACAGGGGUGGCGGCUGAAAAUUCGCCUGCCGGUCACGAAUCAUAGAUCUGUUUCAGUUACUAAAUAUUAUAACCAGUACCACGCUUUAGGCAUUUUAUACAUUUUUAGACAUUAUCUAUAUCUUGUAUUUAUUUACAUCUGUGAAAUUGUAACAUUUGUAAGAAUAUAUGCAUAAAUAUCUGCAGUUUACUUCUAAGAUUUAGGAUGACCAUGAUGAACAGUUCGGAAGCAAGAAGCAAGAAAAUGCACGAUCGAUAUUGCUAUGCAUAUUGGCAGAAACUUUCUCUAAAGAAGUUUCUUUUUCAAGGUUAAUGACUCAACUGGGAAAGAAGGGAAUCACGAUAAUCGUUCGAGCCGAAGUUGUUAUUACAGGCAACAAUGGAGUUUCAAUUGCGUUAUCGUGGUACGCGAUUGUACGUAACACUCGUAUAGAAUUGCAGUUCUAUUGUAUUGCGUAUUGUAUCGCAAUGUACCAGGUCACGAAUUCAAACUAUCUAGUAUUGCACAGCGGUCAUCCACCGUUUAUCCUGUCCGCAGGUUUAAGGCCGGAGUGCAUGAAAUGUAUUGCGUUAUUCCUAGUUAUGAUUCAAGAAAAUUUUCGCGUACCAUUCAUGCGAACAUCGCUAUAUCUUCAAUCUAUUCAUCUUACUAUUACGCAACGAGUAAGGCUUUGUUACGAAAUUGUUAUGCUUUGCUUAUUAAACAAAGUUACGACAAUUAACAAAGGAUAGUAACCUACGAAACAUCGUUCAUACUAUCGCAAUAUUUGUUACCAUAAAAUUCAAGUCCUAAUUUAUGUGACUUUUUCAUCCAAUUUUCACCGAUGCAUUGAUAUUUGACAGGGACGAUUAACUGAAAAUUUUGCCGGUCGUAGAAACGACAAAGAAUACGAAUUAAGCGAGAAAGACUACCGUGCCCAGUGAAUCGUGACAGUCAUACAUCGUCGACUCUGUGGGUUACAUAAAUACCACCUACACAUUCCACUGGUAUUACGUUGUCAAAAUCAAACGGGACCUUUCAGUGGUUUCUUGAACAAACUUCGAAGUCCAUGGCAGCCCAUAAAUCACCCGGUAACAAUAUACUUCGAAGAAUCCGAAGAAGCCCUUUGCAGUGCAGUAAAAAUUCAACCGGACAACCUGGAAUCCCAUAAAUCUCCCACGACGCAUAUGUCCACGGGGACGUUCGCAUUUACUCUGUAUGCUUUAUCCAUGAAAGGAUCGCGCGGAUCUCAGCAGCGCGCCCUCUCGGUCGGAACGCGAAAUAGGAUCGUACACUCAAAUUCGUCGCUUCAAAGGGGUACUUCUUGCGCGGGUAUUUUCGGAAAAAACAUACCUUGUUGACAGUUCGUUGGCACGAAGGCGUAGCCGAGAAUUAGAAACGUCAGAAUCAUGUCGACGAAACGGUUAUCGUUCGUUUUGUGUCUCGACAUCCUCUCCUGGCCACUUGUUCACACCGCGCACUUUUUCGUAUCGGCACGAUUUCGAGGCAGUUCGCCCGACUGUCAGUGCAACACUGUCAUCGUAACGACGCUGAAAUUCGCGAACCUUUUUCGUCACGUUGUGUUUGAGCCCGUUGAUUUAUCGAGCAGCGACGAGCGGGCACAUCCUCGCAGAAGAAAAGAGACGAGUUCGCGAGCACGGCACGUUUGUCACUGGCCACGGGUAGAAAGCAAAAUCCUACUUUCACUUGGUGGCUGCGAGCCUCGCGAGGCGGAGCUGGCACGUCGAGGCCAUCGCGAUCUUUCCCUCUCCUUUCUGUUCUGUGACUUCUCCUCUGCCUCUUUUCUCGUGUACACGUCUUUGUGACGAUCAACGAGAGGGAGCCGAUACUUAGAAAAACCGCGGGGACGGGUUUUAGGAAAAAUUUGAGAACGUCCGGGUACGACCUUUCUUGUAUCUUCGCGAAGGUCGCUAGUGAGGAUCAACGAUCUUUCGCAACGAUUUUAGAACCGGGAGGCAGUGUUUUCGACGCCGAGCCGAGCCCCUCGAGUCGAGGCUCUUUUGCAUCCUACGAAUAAAAGAGAUUCUUAUAAAACGAAUUAUUUUCUUCUGUAGAUAAUCUUGAUCUCUUUUCUUUCACGGAUAUAACGAAAUUAGUGAAAAGAUACAGUUUUUGAAUAAUCAUUAAUCACAAAAUUGCUUUGAUAUUAUUUUUGUGUUUAUUAUUAUUAUUAUAUAUAUAUUGUAAUUUUUCCAUAUUUUCAUUAGCUAGAAAGUAAUAGAAUCCCAAUAUCCGAAUUCUAUAUUUUAUAUUUUAGACAAAUAUGUUACAUAAGGAUCCUCUAGUUUCAUUAAUGUUCUGUAAUUUCAAAGUUACAUAUCUAUAUGUGCGUAUUUCGAUAAUUUUAUCUAUCUAGAUUAAAGUAGAAAGCUGCAAUCGAUAUACAAUACAAUAUAUUUUAAAACUCUGAUCAUAGAUGGUAGUAAUUCUGUUCUACAAUGUGGAAUAUUACACAGUCAGUUUAUCGUACCAAUCACUGCUAACUUUAAAAACAUGUUAGCAUUAUGUUUUAUCACACCAUUUUAAUUCAUCGUUGAAGAAUUGAAAAGUCCUACAUUUAUCGGUAUCUAAUUCCAGAAACAUUUUAACGUAUUUCACGUGAUACACAUUAAUCUCCGCUCAUUAUGCUUCUCAUAAAGCCCAACUUUGUAUGCAAGCUAUAUGUGUGUUUAGUAUCCUUACUUUGGUUCCAUCUAUCGUUUUUUAGAGGCUGGAAAGAAUGCAGCCGAAGAAUGCCAUAACACGGCCGCGUCCUUCGGUAGGACCUUCGUAAACAUUUUUUCGACGUCGAUUUUAUCCUAUCGGGAUACGUUCGUUAACCCUUACCGGGUACAGGCGACCUUUGCGAAUCGACGUAUCGUCGAUUCCGAACUGAUUCACAUCCGGCCAGAAACCAAACGGGCACGAAAGGAAAAAGACGAGCAAGGUCGACACAACCGGGGAAAGUAUUAUCAUGACGCAACAAGAUUGAAGAUGAUGUUCUAUAAUAGCUUCUAAAUUAUGCUACCACUACUUCAACGGCAUAGGGGAUUAGUAUGCCUUCACGUGCUUUACGUCACGUAUGGUUGGUUUUUGUAUUAUUUUUUAAUUUCUUGUGAUCGACUUCGUGCGAUUAUUCUAAUAAGAAAAAGUUCUAUUUCUCUCUCUCUCUUUUGAAAAUAAGCAUGUUUAUGGUUUUAGGUGUUAGGCAAGUAUGUAUAUCGAAUAAAAUUACCGCAUAUAUGAUAGUGCUAUUUAAAUAAGUGUACGAAUUUAUACUGAGUAGUACAAGGUUAUUGGUAUUAAUGUGAUUCAAAGAAUUUUAUAUAAUAAUUGAAAGUGGUAUGAAGUAUAUAUGAAUAAUAAUUUAAACAUAAUAACUUUUGAUAUCUCUCACUAUUCUCUCGAUAAUUCACAAGAAGGCUCUGUAUUUUCUUCAAGAGGUGAUUCAAUCUCUAUAAUUUGCAUUAUCGUAGCAAUGAAAAGUAAGUUUGUAUUAUGAAUGAUCUAUACCACUUGCAUACGAAGUUUCAUGACUUUUUGAAUUUUCAACUUAAUCGUUUAAACGUUCACGUUUCUGGAAUAUUUAUUUUUAAGAAUUUUAUGUACAGAUAU
Bombus terrestris (buff-tailed bumblebee) is the source of this 4128-nucleotide long non-coding RNA. RefSeq lists it as uncharacterized. The record is from RefSeq and is a predicted model, not a curated record. NCBI's taxonomy places the organism in Eukaryota, Metazoa, Arthropoda, Insecta, Hymenoptera, Apidae. The transcript has 2 exons.